RNAcentral lists this ribosomal RNA (1411 nucleotides) under uncultured organism. Its description in RNAcentral is "bacterial SSU rRNA". It matches the Rfam family "Bacterial small subunit ribosomal RNA". The record is from RNAcentral.
CUCAGGAUGAACGCUAGCGGCAGGCCUAACACAUGCAAGUCGAGGGGUAAGUCCCGACUUUGUCGGGAACAUGACCGGCGAACGGGUGAGUAACGCGUUUGCAACCUACCCUUAACUGGAAGAUAGCUCCCGGAAACGGGAAUUAAUACUCCAUAAUAUUCAGACAGGGCAUCUUGUCUGAAUCAAAGCUCCGGCGGUUAAGGAUGGGCAUGCGUGACAUUAGCUUGUUGGUGAGGUAACGGCUCACCAAGGCUGCGAUGUCUAGGGGGUCUGAGAGGAUGAUCCCCCACACUGGUACUGAGACACGGACCAGACUUCUACGGAAGGCAGCAGUGAGGAAUAUUGGGCAAUGGACGAAAGUCUGACCCAGCCAUGCCGCGUGCAGGAUGACGGCCCUAUGGGUUGUAAACUGCUUUUUUACAAGAAGAAAAGUCCCGACGUGUCGGGAUUUGGCGGUAUUGUAAGAAUAAGCAUCGGCUAACUCCGUGCCAGCAGCCGCGGUAAUACGGAGGAUGCAAGCGUUAUCCGGAUUCAUUGGGUUUACAGGGUGUGUAGGCGGGACAGUAAGUCAGUGGUGAAAUCUCUCGGCUUAACCGGAAAACUGCCAUUGAUACUGCUGUCCUUGAGUAUAGUUGAGGUGGGCGGAAUGUGUAAUGUAGCGGUGAAAUGCUUAGAUAUUACCCAGAACACCGAUUGCGAAAGCAGCUCACUAAACUAAUACUGACGCUGAGGCACGAAAGCGUGGGGAGCGAACAGGAUUAGAUACCCUGGUAGUCCACGCUGUAAACUAUGAAUACUCGAUGUGUGCGAUACACUGUACGCGUCUGAGCGAAAGCAUUAAGUAUUCCACCUGGGGAGUACGGUCGCAAGAUUGAAACUCAAAGGAAUUGACGGGGGCCCGCACAAGCGGAGGAACAUGUGGUUUAAUUCGAUGAUACGCGAGGAACCUUACCUGGGCUUAAAUGCAGAACGAUGUUCCGGGAAACUGGAAUUCCCUUCGGGGCGGACUGCAAGGUGCUGCAUGGCUGUCGUCAGCUCGUGCCGUGAGGUGUCGGGUUAAGUCCCAUAACGAGCGCAACCCCUAUCGUUAGUUGCCAGCGGGUAAUGCCGGGGACUCUAACGAAACUGCCAGUGUAAACUGUGAGGAAGGUGGGGAUGACGUCAAGUCAGCACGGCCCUUAUGUCCAGGGCUACACACGUGUUACAAUGGCCAGUACAGAGGGCAGCUACCAGGCGACUGGAUGCAAAUCUCGAAAACUGGUCUUAGUUCGGAUCGGAGUCUGCAACUCGACUUCGUGAAGGUGGAUUCGCUAGUAAUCGCGCAUCAGCCACGGCGCGGUGAAUACGUUCCCGGGCCUUGUACACACCGCCCGUCAAGCCAUGGAAGCUGGGGGUACCUAAAGUCUGUAAC